AGCCGCGCUAAUUCCAGCUCCAUUGGCGUAUAUUAAAGUUGUUGCGGUUAAAAAGCUCGUAGUUGGAUCUGUGUCUCGGACGGCCGGUGCGCGCUCGCGACAACUGACCGGUCCGAACGUCCUGCCGGUGCUUUGCUGCGGGCCCAUGCUGCGCUUCGUAGGCUGGUUAACCCGUGCGGCCUCAAUUCCCUCCGCGUUGUUCUUAACCGAGCGGCGCGCGGGCGGCGAGUUUACUUUGAACAAAUUUGAGUGCUCAAAGCAGGCGACAAGUCCUGAGAAAACUGUGUGCAUGGAAUAAUGGAAUAAGACUUCGGUUCUAUUUUGUUGGCUUUUCUGAACCCGAAGUAAUGAUUAAUAGGGACAGACGGGGGCAUUCGUAUUGCGACGUUAGAGGUGAAAUUCUUGGAUCGUCGCAAGACGAACGGAUGUGAAAGCGUUUGCCAAGAAUGUUUUCGCUAAUCAAGAACGAAAGUUAGAGGUUCGAAGGCGAUCAGAUACCGCCCUAGUUCUAACCAUAAACGAUGCCAGCUAGCGAUGCGCCCGAGUUCCUCCGAUGACUGGGGCGCGCAGCUCCCGGGAAACCAAAGCUUUUGGGUUCCGGGGGAA
Molecule: ribosomal RNA, 606 nt
Filed under: Tortopus primus
Lineage: Eukaryota; Metazoa; Arthropoda; Insecta; Ephemeroptera; Polymitarcyidae
Description: bacterial SSU rRNA
Rfam family: Eukaryotic small subunit ribosomal RNA
Source: RNAcentral